UAGCAGAUACUUAGGUAAUCUUGCUGUUCAGAUUUCAGGUUGGACAAAUGCUUUGCCAGACAUGGUCAUUUCACAUCUAUUUGGAAAGGAAGAGAUUCACAGCAACCAUGACCUGAUCCAUACUUACCGUCAGCAUAUCAUUAAUGAUAUGAAUCAAACCAACCUUCAUCUCUUUGUCAACUCUUACAACAGUCGGCGAGACCUAGAGAUUGAGCGCCCUGUUCCUGGAGUGAAUGUUGUCACCCUUCAGUAAGUAUUUUGAGAGCUUACUGCAAGUCAGGGACUGCCAUUAGGAAA
This is a long non-coding RNA of Ficedula albicollis (Collared flycatcher), 297 nucleotides long. RefSeq lists it as uncharacterized. Lineage: Eukaryota; Metazoa; Chordata; Aves; Passeriformes; Muscicapidae. The transcript is spliced from 3 exons. The record is from RefSeq and is a predicted model, not a curated record.